AUUGAACGCUGGCGGCAUGCUUUACACAUGCAAGUCGAACGGUAACAGGCCUUCGGGUGCUGACGAGUGGCGUACGGGUGAGUAAUGCAUCGGAACGUACCCAGAGGUGGGGGAUAACGCAGCGAAAGCUGUGCUAAUACCGCAUGUGAUCUGAGGAUGAAAGCGGGGGACCGAGCAGCAAUGUUUGGCCUCGCGCCUUUGGAGCGGCCGAUGUCGGAUUAGCUAGUUGGUGGGGUAAAGGCCUACCAAGGCGACGAUCCGUAGCUGGUCUGAGAGGACGACCAGCCACACUGGGACUGAAACACGGCCCAGACUCCUACGGGAGGCAGCAGUGGGGAAUUUUGGACAAUGGGCGCAAGCCUGAUCCAGCAAUGCCGCGUGCGGGAAGAAGGCCUUCGGGUUGUAAACCGCUUUUGGCAGGAACGAAACGGUGUCCGCUAAUACCGGGCGCUAAUGACGGUACCUGCAGAAUAAGCACCGGCUAACUACGUG
Molecule: ribosomal RNA, 492 nt
Filed under: uncultured bacterium
Lineage: Bacteria
Description: partial 16S ribosomal RNA
Rfam family: Bacterial small subunit ribosomal RNA
Source: RNAcentral